UACGUAGGGGGCAAGCGUUAUCCGGAUUUAUUGGGUGUAAAGGGUGCGUAGACGGGAUUUUAAGUCAGUUGUGAAAAUCCGAGGCUUAACUUCGGAAUUGCAACUGAAACUGGAAUUCUUGAGUACAGGAGGGGAAAGCGGAAUUCCUAGUGUAGCGGUGAAAUGCGUAGAUAUUAGGAAGAACACCGGUGGCGAAGGCGGCUUUCUGGACUGUAACUGACGUUGAGGCACGAAAGUGUGGGUAGCAA
This 248-nucleotide ribosomal RNA is filed under the name uncultured Oscillospiraceae bacterium. RNAcentral describes it as "partial 16S ribosomal RNA". It matches the Rfam family "Bacterial small subunit ribosomal RNA", at positions 524 to 771 of the family's 1533-position model. Lineage: Bacteria; Bacillati; Bacillota; Clostridia; Eubacteriales; Oscillospiraceae. The record is from RNAcentral.